This 253-nucleotide ribosomal RNA is filed under the name uncultured bacterium. RNAcentral describes it as "partial 16S ribosomal RNA". It matches the Rfam family "Bacterial small subunit ribosomal RNA", at positions 524 to 776 of the family's 1533-position model. The record is from RNAcentral.
UACGGAGGGGGCUAGCGUUGUUCGGAAUUACUGGGCGUAAAGCGCACGUAGGCGGCGAUUUAAGUCAGAGGUGAAAGCCCGGGGCUCAACCCCGGAAUAGCCUUUGAGACUGGAUUGCUUGAAUCUUGGAGAGGUGAGUGGAAUUCCGAGUGUAGAGGUGAAGUUCGUAGAUAUUCGGAAGAACACCAGUGGCGAAGGCGGCUCACUGGACAAGUAUUGAUGCUGAGGUGCGAAAGCGCGGGGAGCAAACAGG